AACGCUAGCUACAGGCUUAACACAUGCAAGUCGAGGGGCGGCAUGAUUGAAGCUUGCUUCAAUUGAUGGCGACCGGCGCACGGGUGAGUAACACGUAUCCAACCUUCCGUACACUCAGGGAUAGCCUUUCGAAAGAAAGAUUAAUACCUGAUGGUAUCUUAAGCACACAUGUAAUUAAGAUUAAAGAUUUAUCGGUGUACGAUGGGGAUGCGUUCCAUUAGGUAGUAGGCGGGGUAACGGCCCACCUAGCCUACGAUGGAUAGGGGUUCUGAGAGGAAGGUCCCCCACAUUGGAACUGAGACACGGUCCAAACUCCUACGGGAGGCAGCAGUGAGGAAUAUUGGUCAAUGGACGAGAGUCUGAACCAGCCAAGUAGCGUGAAGGAUGAAGGUCCUACGGAUUGUAAACUUCUUUUAUAAGGGAAUAAAACCUCCCACGUGUGGGAGCUUGUAUGUACCUUAUGAAUAAGCAUCGGCUAACUCCGUGCCAGCAGCCGCGGUAAUACGGAGGAUGCGAGCGUUAUCCGGAUUUAUUGGGUUUAAAGGGAGCGCAGACGGGUCGUUAAGUCAGCUGUGAAAGUUUGGGGCUCAACCUUAAAAUUGCAGUUGAUACUGGCGUCCUUGAGUGCGGUUGAGGUGUGCGGAAUUCGUGGUGUAGCGGUGAAAUGCUUAGAUAUCACGAAGAACUCCGAUUG
Molecule: ribosomal RNA, 694 nt
Filed under: uncultured bacterium
Lineage: Bacteria
Description: bacterial SSU rRNA
Rfam family: Bacterial small subunit ribosomal RNA
Source: RNAcentral